AAGGUUUUGGCUUUAAAGAGUUUGCACUUUUUUUCCUUUGGCAAGAAAAAAUGGACAGGCUUAUUUAAGUUAAAUGCUUUUCAAAGAUACUUUCACAGCAGCUUUCAUCUCUCUUUUUCUUUGUUUCCAAUUUUCAUGAAAAUAACUGCAGUAAGACAAGUGCAAAGUCUUUUUGAUCAUUUCAGUGGUAAUGAUAAUGCAGCUUUGUGAACUGCAAGGCACGUUGUCUGAAAAAGCUAUAUUCUACAACAAGCAGAGGAGGAAAUGGAGCAGAGUGACUGGCAGACUUUCCCCCAGAUCAGUCAUCAAUUACAUAAAAUUCUUCCAUCUGUAACUUCACAAAUUGCCACUGAAAUAUCCAUUCAGAGCCACAGCCACGCUAGAGGUGAUGGAAGAGAGGACAAGGAAGAAGAAAUGUUUCUUACGAAUAAAAUGUGAAGAGAAUGUGGUCGGCAGAGAUGAUACUUAACGCUUCCAAGUAAAUGUGAAAGUGACUGACUCUUUUACAGCACUUCCUUUUUUGGUGCUUUUCUUUCUGACUGUGAUAGACCGCUAUAUCUGAGAGCCAUCCUUCUGCCGUUGUAGCUUCAGUUUAUGACUGUGCAGCCAUUUAAUUUGAUUAAAAAUAGCACUUUGGCAGACAUGUGUCAUUAGGCUAUUCUGUGUUUCACACCAGAAAAAUGUAAAAUGUCCCAUUACUGUCUUUGCUUACGUCCCACCCCCACAAAAUGUUGAAAUUUUUGCUUGUAUGCCAUUCCCUAUUGUGCAUUGAGCACAAUAGGGUGGCAGAUGUGCACAAAAGGUAGUCUUGAUAUAGGCAGGUUGCAAUUCCAACUGCUGAGCCUGCAAAGAAAAAUAAGAUUAUGAUCAAUUAGACAAGGUUUAAUUCUACCUAACUUCAAA
This 903-nucleotide long non-coding RNA is filed under the name Coturnix japonica (Japanese quail). Its description in RNAcentral is "lncRNA (ENSCJPG00005019467.1)". The record is from RNAcentral. Lineage: Eukaryota; Metazoa; Chordata; Aves; Galliformes; Phasianidae.